This 504-nucleotide ribosomal RNA is filed under the name uncultured bacterium. RNAcentral describes it as "partial 16S ribosomal RNA". It matches the Rfam family "Bacterial small subunit ribosomal RNA", at positions 29 to 523 of the family's 1533-position model. The record is from RNAcentral.
AUUGAACGCUGGCGGCAGGCCUAACACAUGCAAGUCGAACGGUAGCACAGAGAGCUUGCUCUCGGGUGACGAGUGGCGGACGGGUGAGUAACGUCUGGGAAACUGCCCGAUGGAGGGGGAUAACUACUGGAAACGGUAGCUAAUACCGCAUAACGUCGCAAGACCAAAGUGGGGGACCUUCGGGCCUCACACCAUCGGAUGUGCCCAGAUGGGAUUAGCUAGUAGGUGGGGUAAUGGCUCACCUAGGCGACGAUCCCUAGCUGGUCUGAGAGGAUGACCAGCCACACUGGAACUGAGACACGGUCCAGACUCCUACGGGAGGCAGCAGUGGGGAAUAUUGCACAAUGGGCGCAAGCCUGAUGCAGCCAUGCCGCGUGUAUGAAGAAGGCCUUCGGGUUGUAAAGUACUUUCAGCGGGGAGGAAGGCGGUGAAGUUAAUAACUUCACCGAUUGACGUUACCCGCAGAAGAAGCACCGGCUAACUCCGUGCCAGCAGCCGCCGCGG